Molecule: ribosomal RNA, 357 nt
Filed under: uncultured soil bacterium
Lineage: Bacteria
Description: bacterial SSU rRNA
Rfam family: Bacterial small subunit ribosomal RNA
Source: RNAcentral
AGAUUGAACGCUGGCGGCGUGCUUAACACAUGCAAGUCGAGCGGAAAGGCCUUUCGGGGUACUCGAGCGGCGAACGGGUGAGUAACACGUGAGUAAUCUGCCCAUCGCUUCAGGAUAGCCAUCGGAAAACGGUGAUUAAUACUGGAUAUGACAUUCCUUCGCAUGUUGGGGUGUUGGUAAAGUUUUUUCGGCGGUGGAUGUGCUCGCGGCCUAUCAGCUUGUUGGUGGGGUAAUGGCCUACCAAGGCUUUGGACGGGUAGCCGGCCGUGAGGAGGGUGACCCGGCCACGCGUAGGGACUGAGACACGGCCAGACCUCCGUACGGGAGCAGCGAGGUAGGGAAUACGUUAGGACAAGU